AUCCAGAUGACGAGUCCCAAAUAAGACAGGUGAAAUGCGCAUCGUGGAU
RNAcentral lists this non-coding RNA (49 nucleotides) under Trichobilharzia regenti. The record is from RNAcentral. Lineage: Eukaryota; Metazoa; Platyhelminthes; Trematoda; Strigeidida; Schistosomatidae.